This 72-nucleotide transfer RNA is filed under the name Thermincola carboxydiphila JR. Its description in RNAcentral is "Thermincola potens JR tRNA". It matches the Rfam family "tRNA". From Rfam's summary of the family: Transfer RNA (tRNA) molecules are approximately 80 nucleotides in length. Their secondary structure includes four short double-helical elements and three loops (D, anti-codon, and T loops). Further hydrogen bonds mediate the characteristic L-shaped molecular structure. tRNAs have two regions of fundamental functional importance: the anti-codon, which is responsible for specific mRNA codon recognition, and the 3' end, to which the tRNAs corresponding amino acid is attached (by aminoacyl-tRNA synthetases). tRNAs cope with the degeneracy of the genetic code in two manners: having more than one tRNA (with a specific anti-codon) for a particular amino acid; and 'wobble' base-pairing, i.e. permitting non-standard base-pairing at the 3rd anti-codon position. The record is from Rfam by way of RNAcentral. Lineage: Bacteria; Bacillati; Bacillota; Clostridia; Eubacteriales; Thermincolaceae.
GGGCAUAUAGUUCAGAGGGAGAACGCUUCCUUGACACGGAAGAGGUCCGUGGUUCGAUUCCACGUAUGCCCA